GGCCUUGUGGCCUAAUGGAUAAGGCGUCCGCCUCCGGAGCCGAAGAUUGUGGGUUCGAGUCCCAUCAAGGUCG
This 73-nucleotide transfer RNA is filed under the name Haliotis rufescens (red abalone). RNAcentral describes it as "tRNA-Arg". It matches the Rfam family "tRNA". Rfam says of the family: Transfer RNA (tRNA) molecules are approximately 80 nucleotides in length. Their secondary structure includes four short double-helical elements and three loops (D, anti-codon, and T loops). Lineage: Eukaryota; Metazoa; Mollusca; Gastropoda; Lepetellida; Haliotidae. The record is from RNAcentral.